AGAGUCCACACAGCAAAGUAGGCCACUUUAGUGCGAGAUCUCCUGCGGCAGGCUAGCUAUUCUGUAAUAAUAGUUACCGCUGCAGUUAUUUUGCGGCAACUUGUUAGUGCUUUCCACCCAGGGCGAGAGUUUUGCUUCUGACAUCGGGGUCUUAGCUAGAAAAACGACGACCUCAGCCUCGUUUAUAAAGCCGUGCAUGCACGUUCAUAAAAUAAAGUACGUGUUGCUAUACUUUUACAACAG
Non-coding RNA from Paramuricea clavata, 243 nucleotides. The record is from the annotation of a GenBank genome assembly. Lineage: Eukaryota; Metazoa; Cnidaria; Anthozoa; Malacalcyonacea; Plexauridae.